This 247-nucleotide ribosomal RNA is filed under the name uncultured bacterium. RNAcentral describes it as "partial 16S ribosomal RNA". It matches the Rfam family "Bacterial small subunit ribosomal RNA", at positions 523 to 769 of the family's 1533-position model. The record is from RNAcentral.
AUACGUAGGGUGCAAGCGUUAAUCGGAAUUACUGGGCGUAAAGCGUGCGCAGGCGGUUCGGAAAGAAAGGUGUGAAAUCCCAGGGCUUAACCUUGGAACUGCACUUUUAACUACCGGGCUAGAGUACGUCAGAGGGGGGUAGAAUUCCACGUGUAGCAGUGAAAUGCGUAGAGAUGUGGAGGAAUACCGAUGGCGAAGGCAGCCCCCUGGGAUGAUACUGACGCUCAUGCACGAAAGCGUGGGGAGC